AAAUUGAAGAGUUUGAUCAUGGCUCAGAUUGAACGCUGGCGGCAGGCCUAACACAUGCAAGUCGAACGGUAACAGGAAGCAGCUUGCUGCUUCGCUGACGAGUGGCGGACGGGUGAGUAAUGUCUGGGAAACUGCCUGAUGGAGGGGGAUAACUACUGGAAACGGUAGCUAAUACCGCAUAACGUCGCAAGACCAAAGAGGGGGACCUUCGGGCCUCUUGCCAUCGGAUGUGCCCAGAUGGGAUUAGCUAGUAGGUGGGGUAACGGCUCACCUAGGCGACGAUCCCUAGCUGGUCUGAGAGGAUGACCAGCCACACUGGAACUGAGACACGGUCCAGACUCCUACGGGAGGCAGCAGUGGGGAAUAUUGCACAAUGGGCGCAAGCCUGAUGCAGCCAUGCCGCGUGUAUGAAGAAGGCCUUCGGGUUGUAAAGUACUUUCAGCGGGGAGGAAGGGAGUAAAGUUAAUACCUUUACUCAUUGACGUUACCCGCAGAAGAAGCACCGGCUAACUCCGUGCCAGCAGCCGCGGUAAUACGGAGGGUGCAAGCGUUAAUCGGAAUUACUGGGCGUAAAGCGCACGCAGGCGGUUUGUUAAGUCAG
Molecule: ribosomal RNA, 601 nt
Filed under: Escherichia coli
Lineage: Bacteria; Pseudomonadati; Pseudomonadota; Gammaproteobacteria; Enterobacterales; Enterobacteriaceae
Description: bacterial SSU rRNA
Rfam family: Bacterial small subunit ribosomal RNA
Source: RNAcentral